UGGCUCAGGUUGUGGCAGGGUCCUUGGCCGAUCCUCUCUACCCUCAGGCCGGCACCGAAUGAACCUGUCGAGCCGAUCUCUUCUGAUGAGCUCCUCGAUCUCAUCUUGGAGUUGAAUGUAUUCCUCCGUGUCGUGAUCGUGAUCACGAUGGUAGAGGCAGAACUUGUUAGGAUUGUGCUUCCCAGGGUGUGUGCGCAUCCUUUCUGGCCUUGGAAG
RNAcentral lists this long non-coding RNA (216 nucleotides) under Elaeis guineensis (African oil palm). RNAcentral describes it as "long non-coding RNA (EGUI_LNC079042)". Lineage: Eukaryota; Viridiplantae; Streptophyta; Magnoliopsida; Arecales; Arecaceae. The record is from RNAcentral.